This 292-nucleotide long non-coding RNA is filed under the name Gossypium raimondii (Peruvian cotton). RNAcentral's name for it is "long non-coding RNA (GRAI_LNC010068)". Lineage: Eukaryota; Viridiplantae; Streptophyta; Magnoliopsida; Malvales; Malvaceae. The record is from RNAcentral.
AAACUUUCCAAAUAAUCAUAGACAAAUGUGGAGCGACACGAGGCAGAGCGGGAAAAGAAAAAUUAAGAAGAUAAAGGGUGAAAGAGAGCAGAAAUUCGGCAGCAAUGAAGAGAAAAAUGACAAGAUGGUGGAGGGAUUUUGGGGAAAGUAAAAAAAAAAAGAAAAAAAGAUGAACAUAAUAUUUGAUAACCACCUCAAUCCCUUAUUUCUCUCCACUAAACUCCCCACUAAAUCCACUACUCAGAUUUUUAGUCCAUCUCAAACUCUCCUGGAUGCACGAGCAAAAAUAAUG